GCUCUUAGUGAGCCCGAUCCUUCAAUUUGCUAGGCUAAAUUAGAGUGUCUUUAAUACCCCUAGUCAUGUGUACUUGCGUAAGUCCGUAAGAGUAUAGAAGCAACUGCAGAUUUCUAGUGUCAGAGAAAAACAGGGACGGUGAGAUGAUGGAGGAAGCUGAAAUUGCCAAGCGAUGUAGGGUCAAUGUAGAGAGCGUAGGUAUCAAAUAGAAGAUGUUGCUCAGAAGGUCAGAAUCUCCAGCGCGUCGAAUGUCGACCUGGUCGUCGGCUUGUCAGCACCAUUCUAGAUCACUUCAUCAUCUUCCCCAGCACACUCGGCACAAACUUUCAUGGCCUCAUGCCCUCACCUCCUCAUAUGGAGUAGGCGAGAAAUGCCUUGCGGUGCCAUCGCGCACAAUGUGCUGUGGACUCUUAUAAAUGCUUACUUCAUCACUUUCUUCUCAUUCGUUAUCAAUCGAUGUAAACUAAUUGAUCAAAUGGAAUUACAAGUCCAGAGAUUAUUUUUUUUUCAAAAUAA
Molecule: long non-coding RNA, 516 nt
Filed under: Setaria viridis
Lineage: Eukaryota; Viridiplantae; Streptophyta; Magnoliopsida; Poales; Poaceae
Description: long non-coding RNA (SVIR_LNC009837)
Source: RNAcentral